GCGGGGUGCACGUGGCACGCAUGCACCUGUGGCAAGCCGCCUGUCAGGAUGUUAUUACACCUGCCAAGUGGUGGAUCCAGAAACAAAAGAGGCCCAGCUUCUAAUUCCUCAGCUGUGUGCAGCGUUGGAAAAAUCGUUAUACCGGGAAAUAAUCCUGCCUAAGUGGGGCAGCCCUCGCAGGCCGGGAUGGAGACACAUGCACCGGAGAUAGCCUAGGAAUGUGGCGAGACCACUUGAAGGGGAUCCUGAGGAAGAUGCUUCCAAAGUCAUGGGUAUCCUUGGGGAGCAGAAUUUCAGAAGAAUGAGAGGAGGAAGCCAGAUUACCCCAGGAGAGGAUGGCCUGGGGACUCACUCUACAGGCCCCUGCCCGCCCUGCUGAAGCCGGGAAUCAGGAGCCGCCCCCAGUUGCUGUGCCUCCGCCCGGCCCGGUCCUGCCACCAGCUGUCAGGCCACCACCGCUGCCCCCGGGCCGGCAGGUCGCCCAGCACCCACUGUCCCCGUGUUCAGAGGGCUGAGGGGCUCCUGGGGCCCAGUAGUGAAGGUGGGCCUCGGCCCAGGUCGUGACCCCGGGCCCUGCUUGGGGGGGGGGGGGCUGCUGCUGCGUCUCCCCUGCCCCCUCGUGACCUCGCUCGCUCGCUCUCGGGUAACUAGAUGGGAAGGUCAGAAAGGAACCUGAGGAGGCCGGCCUCGCCCCGCCGGCGCCCCAGCAGCCGCCCCAGC
Canis lupus familiaris (dog) is the source of this 720-nucleotide long non-coding RNA. RefSeq lists it as uncharacterized. The record is from RefSeq and is a predicted model, not a curated record. The transcript is spliced from 3 exons. NCBI's taxonomy places the organism in Eukaryota, Metazoa, Chordata, Mammalia, Carnivora, Canidae.